GCGAGCUCAGUUGGCAGAGUACAAGAUUUUUAAUCUCACGGUUGUGGGUGCAAGCCCCAUGUUGGGCG
Podarcis lilfordi (Lilford's wall lizard) is the source of this 68-nucleotide non-coding RNA. The record is from the annotation of a GenBank genome assembly. NCBI's taxonomy places the organism in Eukaryota, Metazoa, Chordata, Lepidosauria, Squamata, Lacertidae.